UGCCAGCAGUCGCGGUUACACCGAGAAAUUAAGUCAUAUUUAAACGGUAAAAAGACAGUUAGACAUAAUUCCUUUAGGUUUACCUGACUUUCUAUAAAAAGGUAAAAUUUGUAUAUAGUUAUGAAAUUUAAUUUAAAACCGUAAAGUUGAAUCUGUGAUAGCCUAGAGGGAAACUGGGAUUAGAUACCCCACUAUUCUUGGAUGUAAAUUAAAUUUAAUUUACCUGAGUACUAUGAACACAUAAAUUUAAAACUCAAAGGACUUGGCGGUAUUUUAGACUAUUUAGGGGAACCUGUCUCAUAAUCGAUAGUCCACGCUAUACCUAACCUUUUUUUGCUUUCAGCUUGUAUAUCGUUGUCGUCAGGUAACUUUUUAGAAACUAGAAGUUAGCUAAAAAUAAAGUAAGUUUAAACGUCAAAUCAAGGUGCAGUUAAUAAAGAGGUGAGGAUGGGUUACAAUUAUUUACUUAUAACUACGGAGAAUCAUAAGAAUUUGUGAUUACUAAGGAGGACUUAAAAGUAAAUUAGAUUAUAUAAAUAAUUUGAAUAAGGCUCUGAAAUGUGCACACAUCGCCCGUCACUCU
Molecule: ribosomal RNA, 583 nt
Filed under: Turris dollyae
Lineage: Eukaryota; Metazoa; Mollusca; Gastropoda; Neogastropoda; Turridae
Description: partial 12S ribosomal RNA
Source: RNAcentral